GCAGAGAUGCUUUUGGUGCCUUCGGGAACUCUGAGACAGGUGCUGCAUGGCUGUCGUCAGCUCGUGUUGUGAAAUGUUGGGUUAAGUCCCGCAACGAGCGCAACCCUUAUCCUUUGUUGCCAGCGGUUAGGCCGGGAACUCAAAGGAGACUGCCAGUGAUAAACUGGAGGAAGGUGGGGAUGACGUCAAGUCAUCAUGGCCCUUACGAGUAGGGCUACACACGUGCUACAAUGGCGCAUACAAAGAGAAGCGACCUCGCGAGAGCAAGCGGACCUCAUAAAGUGCGUCGUAGUCCGGAUUGGAGUCUGCAACUCGACUCCAUGAAGUCGGAAUCGCUAGUAAUCGUGGAUCAGAAUGCCACGGUGAAUACGUUCCCGGGCCUUGUACACACCGCCCGUCACACCAUGGGAGUGGGUUGCAAAAGAAGUAGGUAGCUUAACCUUCGGGAGGGCGCUUACCACUUUGUGAUUCAUGACUGGGGUGAAGUCGUAACAAGGUAGGCGUAGUGCU
Molecule: ribosomal RNA, 510 nt
Filed under: uncultured bacterium
Lineage: Bacteria
Description: bacterial SSU rRNA
Rfam family: Bacterial small subunit ribosomal RNA
Source: RNAcentral